UGAGAGUGGGUAGUCCGCACGAGCGCACCUCAUUUUUAGUUGCCAUCAGGUUAUGCUGGGCACUCUAAAAAAACUGCCGGUGAUAAGCUGGAGGAAGGCGGGGAUGACGUCAAGUCCUCAUGGCCCUUAUGGUCUGGGCUACACACGUGCUACAAUGGUGGUGACAGUGGGCAGCGAUAUCGCAAGAUACAGCUAAUCCCAAAAAACCAUCUCAGUUCGGAUUGGACUCUGCAACUCGAGUCCAUGAAGUUGGAAUCGCUAGUAAUCGUAGAUCAGCGUGCUACGGUGAAUACGUUCUCGGGCCUUGUACACACCGCCCGUCACGCCAUGGAAGUUGGUUUUACCUUAAGCCGGUGCGCUAACCGCAAGGAAGCAGCCGUCCACGGUAGGGUCAGUAACUGGGGCGAAGUCGUAACAAGGUAACCGUAGGGGAACCUGCGGUUGGAUCACCUCCUUUCU
This 459-nucleotide ribosomal RNA is filed under the name uncultured Alphaproteobacteria bacterium. Its description in RNAcentral is "bacterial SSU rRNA". It matches the Rfam family "Bacterial small subunit ribosomal RNA", at positions 1064 to 1533 of the family's 1533-position model. Lineage: Bacteria; Pseudomonadati; Pseudomonadota; Alphaproteobacteria. The record is from RNAcentral.